This 209-nucleotide long non-coding RNA is filed under the name Lathyrus oleraceus (garden pea). RNAcentral's name for it is "Pisum sativum (pea) long non-coding RNA (PSAT_LNC019722)". The record is from RNAcentral. Lineage: Eukaryota; Viridiplantae; Streptophyta; Magnoliopsida; Fabales; Fabaceae.
AACAAUUGGACAGCAGAAGAUUUGGUCCAAGUUACUCUUCAAACAGAGUAAUUUUCUUUUGUUUUUUCAUUCUGCACAAAACCCUACGUUCUGCCCAAGGCGUAGUGGUUCAUUGUAGGGUCUCAUCAUGUUUUCAAUGAUUAUCAUUAAUAAAGGACGUUUGCAAACAAUUUUGUGAUCCUUGUCUUUCUAUUUUUGUUUUCAUUUUU